This 677-nucleotide ribosomal RNA is filed under the name Ascolaimus elongatus. RNAcentral describes it as "eukaryotic LSU rRNA". It matches the Rfam family "Eukaryotic large subunit ribosomal RNA", at positions 367 to 944 of the family's 3401-position model. Lineage: Eukaryota; Metazoa; Nematoda; Chromadorea; Araeolaimida; Axonolaimidae. The record is from RNAcentral.
CAAAGAACUUUGAAGAGAGAGUUCAAGAGGGCGUGAAACCGUUUAGAGGGAAACGGGUAGAGCCAAUGAAAGCUGUCGGUACUCAGCCUGAACCGGAAGGUAAAGGUGUAUUUGCUGUCAGCGGCGCCAGGCGUAGUGGUGCUUACUGUCGAUGCCUAUAAAGAGGGCCUUUACGGAGGUAUCCUUUGUGGGUGGAAUCGGUUUCGUGCUACUUACAAGGUGUCUACCCUUAUGGUGUCUGAUCAUAGCGAUGUGUUGACUGUGCUGUUGUGGAGCUUGCUCUGCUUUGGUAUGGAAGAUAUGUUGUGAUUGUGAGGACAUGAUGCUGGCCUGGUGAAAAAGUUGGUCACCUACCCGACCCGUCUUGAAACACGGACCAAGGAGUCUAACAUGUGCGCGAGUUGAAAGGUGGUAAACCUAAAUAGCGCAAUGAAAGUAAAGGUCGGUUUAACCGGCUGAUAUGGGACCCUUCACUGCGGUGUUGGGGCACCAUAGUCCCGUCGCGUCUGCUUGUCAGUGCGGCGGAGACAGAGCGUACACGUUGGGACCCGAAAGAUGGUGAACUAUGCCUGAGCAGGAUGAAGCCAGGGGAAACUCUGGUGGAGGUCCGAAGCGGUUCUGACGUGCAAAUCGAUCGUCAGACUUGGGUAUAGGGGCGAAAGACUAAUCGAACCAUC